GGCUUCUAUUACAGUAGGAGCUCGUAUUUGGUGGUUUUACCCUAUGUAAUGAAUAACUAAAUUUUCGAUUCCAUUAAAUACGGUUCAGUCAGUGGUGAGUUCUUUGUUGAUUGAUCAACAUGUUGAAACGAAUCAUAACGUUUGCUGUGAUUUUUUUAGUUACGAUAACCAUUGCCAGCUCGAUUCCUAAUUCCCGCAUUGUCGAGCCCGCUGAUAAUAUUCGCAUGGAAAACGUGACUUGCCCGGAGUGUGUUACAUGUUAUUUGAAAUGCAAAUGCGUAUUGCCGGGAACGGAUAUCAUCAAAAACUAUUCGGAUUUCAUUCAACCUCGGCCAGAACAUUGUCCAAAAUGUGUAUGUGACCCGUCGGAUGAUUGUACCGAUUCUCCGAACUACAAAUUGUGUCCAUCACAAUAAAAUGGAAAUAAAAUCAAUUUAUAAUUUGAAAUCAA
Long non-coding RNA from Bradysia coprophila, 451 nucleotides. RefSeq lists it as uncharacterized. The record is from RefSeq and is a predicted model, not a curated record. NCBI's taxonomy places the organism in Eukaryota, Metazoa, Arthropoda, Insecta, Diptera, Sciaridae.